CCUACGGGCGGCACCAGUGGGGAAUAUUGCACAAUGGGCGCAAGCCUGAUGCAGCCAUGCCGCGUGUAUGAAGAAGGCCUUCGGGUUGUAAAGUACUUUCAGCGAGGAGGAAGGCGAUAAGGUUAAUAACCUUGUCGAUUGACGUUACUCGCAGAAGAAGCACCGGCUAACUCCGUGCCAGCAGCCGCGGUAAUACGGAGGGUGCAAGCGUUAAUCGGAAUUACUGGGCGUAAAGCGCACGCAGGCGGUCUGUCAAGUCGGAUGUGAAAUCCCCGGGCUCAACCUGGGAACUGCAUUCGAAACUGGCAGGCUAGAGUCUUGUAGAGGGGGGUAGAAUUCCAGGUGUAGCGGUGAAAUGCGUAGAGAUCUGAGGAAUACCGGUGGCGAAGGCGGCCCCCUGGACAAAGACUGACGCUCAGCUGCGAAAGCGUGGGGAGCAAACAGGAUUAGAUACCCUCGUAUUC
RNAcentral lists this ribosomal RNA (464 nucleotides) under uncultured bacterium. RNAcentral's name for it is "bacterial SSU rRNA". It matches the Rfam family "Bacterial small subunit ribosomal RNA", at positions 338 to 795 of the family's 1533-position model. The record is from RNAcentral.